UGAGGAAUAUUGGUCAAUGGGCGGGAGCCUGAACCAGCCAAGUCGCGUGAGGGAAGACGGUCCUAUGGAUUGUAAACCUCUUUUGUCGGGGAGCAAAGAGGCCACGUGUGGUCAAAAGCGAGAGUACCCGAAGAAAAGCAUCGGCUAACUCCGUCGCC
Molecule: ribosomal RNA, 158 nt
Filed under: uncultured bacterium
Lineage: Bacteria
Description: partial 16S ribosomal RNA
Rfam family: Bacterial small subunit ribosomal RNA
Source: RNAcentral